Molecule: long non-coding RNA, 234 nt
Filed under: Chloebia gouldiae (Gouldian finch)
Lineage: Eukaryota; Metazoa; Chordata; Aves; Passeriformes; Passeridae
Description: Erythrura gouldiae (Gouldian finch) lncRNA (ENSEGOG00005000006.1)
Source: RNAcentral
GUAGUUCAGCUCAGUGUGAUCAACACGUUGUUUUGGAUUUUCAUCCCACUUCAGGAAAUGGGGACUACCUGGUAAAGCACUUGGAGAGGAUCUUCCAGUUUUAGAUUUCUCUGGGUCUAUACAAGGGUCAUGACACUCAUAGAUAUAUCUGUGGACGGGGAGCCCUUCAAGGUUGUUGAAAUGAAGAAAUGAGUUUCCUAGAAUGUAAAGAGAACAGAACAAAACACCUCUUUA